GAUGAACGCUGGCGGCGUGCCUAAUACAUGCAAGUCGAGCGAACAGACGAGGAGCUUGCUCCUCUGACGUUAGCGGCGGACGGGUGAGUAACACGUGGAUAACCUACCUAUAAGACUGGGAUAACUUCGGGAAACCGGAGCUAAUACCGGAUAAUAUAUUGAACCGCAUGGUUCAAUAGUGAAAGACGGUUUUGCUGUCACUUAUAGAUGGAUCCGCGCCGCAUUAGCUAGUUGGUAAGGUAACGGCUUACCAAGGCAACGAUGCGUAGCCGACCUGAGAGGGUGAUCAGCCACACUGGAACUGAGACACGGUCCAGACUCCUACGGAAGGCAGCAGUAGGGAAUCUUCCGCAAUGGGCGAAAGCCUGACGGAGCAACGCCGCGUGAGUGAUGAAGGUCUUCGGAUCGUAAAACUCUGUUAUUAGGGAAGAACAAAUGUGUAAGUAACUAUGCACGUCUUGACGGUACCUAAUCAGAAAGCCACGGCUAACUACGUG
This 497-nucleotide ribosomal RNA is filed under the name uncultured bacterium. RNAcentral describes it as "partial 16S ribosomal RNA". It matches the Rfam family "Bacterial small subunit ribosomal RNA", at positions 28 to 507 of the family's 1533-position model. The record is from RNAcentral.